RNAcentral lists this ribosomal RNA (429 nucleotides) under uncultured Methylophilaceae bacterium. RNAcentral describes it as "bacterial SSU rRNA". It matches the Rfam family "Bacterial small subunit ribosomal RNA", at positions 355 to 776 of the family's 1533-position model. The record is from RNAcentral. Lineage: Bacteria; Pseudomonadati; Pseudomonadota; Betaproteobacteria; Nitrosomonadales; Methylophilaceae.
UGGGGAAUUUUGGACAAUGGGGGCAACCCUGAUCCAGCCAUUCCGCGUGAGUGAAGAAGGCCUUCGGGUUGUAAAGCUCUUUCGCAAGGGAAGAAAACUUAGUCUCUAACAUAGACUGAGGUUGACGGUACCUUGAUAAGAAGCACCGGCUAACUACGUGCCAGCAGCCGCGGUAAUACGUAGGGUGCGAGCGUUAAUCGGAAUUACUGGGCGUAAAGCGUGCGCAGGCGGCCUGAUAAGUCAGAUGUGAAAUCCCCGAGCUCAACUUGGGAACUGCGUUUGAAACUAUCAAGCUAGAAUAUGUCAGAGGGGGGUAGAAUUCCACGUGUAGCAGUGAAAUGCGUAGAGAUGUGGAGGAAUACCAAUGGCGAAGGCAGCCCCCUGGGAUAAUAUUGACGCUCAUGCACGAAAGCGUGGGGAGCAAACAGG